This 729-nucleotide ribosomal RNA is filed under the name Triticum aestivum (bread wheat). RNAcentral's name for it is "partial small subunit ribosomal RNA". Lineage: Eukaryota; Viridiplantae; Streptophyta; Magnoliopsida; Poales; Poaceae. The record is from RNAcentral.
AUGGCAGAGGCAUCACUUGCAGAAGCAACAGCCGAGCUAUCCGGCUUAAAGCGCCAGAUAUCUCAAAUGGUCUCAGCCAUCUUCGGCCCCAGGAGCACAAACCUCAAGCAGAACAUGUUGAUCAAGCUGAAAGCGGUUUAUACUCUAGUGGAGCAACUGUACACCGGGUCACAAUGUGCUUUGGCCGCUGUAGCUUUAUCAAAUGACGUUCCCCACCUCCUGCGAGACGUGAUGAAGUGUCUUGUUGUGCUACCUCAAUGGGUCCAAGAUCUAAGGCGGGCGUCCUCAAGAGCCGGGGCCAUCGCCGCGUUGAGCCGGGCAAAAGCAUGGAUUCCAGAACUAGACCCGGCCGACCUCGCUCUUGGAUACCUGAGUCUGAAAGAGGAUGGGACCGUAUUUGAUGAACAGGAUUUCACCGCCUAUGUCAAAGAUAUACGCCCCGUGGCUACUCUCAUUGGGAACGAUACUGACCUUACCAAGUAUCAGCCAGGCUAUGACAGUGAGAACCGGAGAAUUCCAACACCUCCCUAUGAUGAAGUCAGCCUGAUCCCUCCAACUCGUAAGCAUACCUUUGCCCCUGAAGUGGACCCAGCCGGUUUAAUAGAUGAUGCAGCUGAGUUUGAAGCCUUGAGUGACAUUGACUGGGCCUCGUCAACCUUCCAGGACAGGGCAGCCGACGGAGAGGCGGAGAAGGAUAACCCGGAAUCUUCAAGCCCACCAAAGGAGUGA